RNAcentral lists this ribosomal RNA (383 nucleotides) under uncultured eukaryote. Its description in RNAcentral is "partial 18S ribosomal RNA". It matches the Rfam family "Eukaryotic small subunit ribosomal RNA", at positions 592 to 976 of the family's 1831-position model. The record is from RNAcentral.
CAAUAGCGUAUAUUAAAGUUGUUGCGGUUAAAAAGCUCGUAGUUGGAUCUCGGCGGGCAGGGGGUGGUUCGCUCUUAGCGCUACUGCCCCAUUUGCCUGUGUGAUUGGCGGAGGUUUCGGGGUGCUCUUCGUUGAGUGACCCGGGGCGCCGUCAGGUUUACUUUGAAAAAAUUAGAGUGCUCAAAGCAGGCUUUUCACGCUUGAAUAUUCGUGCAUGGAAUAAUGGAAUAGGAACUCGUUUCUAUUUUGUUGGUUUUCGGAAAUCGAGUUAAUGAUUAAUAGGGACAAUUGGGGGCAUUAGUAUUCAGACGACAGAGGUGAAAUUCUUGGACCGUCUGAAGACUAACUACAGCGAAAGCACUUGCCAAGAGUGUUUUCAUUAA